RNAcentral lists this ribosomal RNA (359 nucleotides) under uncultured bacterium. RNAcentral's name for it is "bacterial SSU rRNA". It matches the Rfam family "Bacterial small subunit ribosomal RNA", at positions 539 to 896 of the family's 1533-position model. The record is from RNAcentral.
CGUUAAUCGGAAUUACUGGGCGUAAAGGGCGCSYAGGCGGUUAUAUAAGUUUUGUGUGAAAUGCCCGGGCUUAACCUGGGAUCUGCAUAAGAUACUGUGUAGCUAGAGUAGAGUAGAGGGAAGUGGAAUUUCCGGUGUAGCGGUGAAAUGCGUAGAUAUCGGAAGGAACACCAGUGGCGAAGGCGGCUUUCUGGACUCAUACUGACGCUGAGGCGCGAAAGCGUGGGGAGCAAACAGGAUUAGAUACCCUGGUAGUCCAUGCUGUAAACGAUGAAGACUAGAUGUUGUGAAGAUAAAACUUUGCAGUAUCGAAGCUAACGCGAUAAGUCUUCCGCCUGGGGAGUACGGUCGCAAGAUUA